GAACGCUAGCUACAGGCUUAACACAUGCAAGUCAGGGGCAGCAUGAACUUAGCUUGCUAAGUUUUGAUGGCGACCGGCGCACGGGUGAGUAACACGUAUCCAACCUUCCGUUUACUCAGGGAUAGCCUUUCGAAAGAAAGAUUAAUACCUGAUAGUAUGGUGAGAUUGCAUGAUAGCACCAUUAAAGAUUUAUUGGUAAACGAUGGGGAUGCGUUCCAUUAGGUAGUAGGCGGGGUAACGGCCCACCUAGCCUGCGAUGGAUAGGGGUUCUGAGAGGAAGGUCCCCCACAUUGGAACUGAGACACGGUCCAAACUCCUACGGGAGGCAGCAGUGAGGAAUAUUGGUCAAUGGGCGGAAGCCUGAACCAGCCAUGCCGCGUGAAGGACUAAGGCCCUACGGGUCGUAAACUUCUUUAGACGCAGAGCAAUAAGGUCCACGCGUGGACCGAUGAGAGUAUGCGUAGAAUAAGCAUCGGCUAACUCCGUG
RNAcentral lists this ribosomal RNA (487 nucleotides) under uncultured bacterium. RNAcentral's name for it is "bacterial SSU rRNA". It matches the Rfam family "Bacterial small subunit ribosomal RNA", at positions 31 to 507 of the family's 1533-position model. The record is from RNAcentral.